CCAACUGCAAGGAUUGGGAUACCUUCAUAUUCUCCCUGCUGCUUUCAGAGAGCCAUCCAUCAAUGAACACAGACUGCUAUAAAGCUGUUGCAUCUGAUUUAGCUCGUUUUGCGUCUGGGGAAGAAGAGUUACCUUCACCUGAUUCAAUCGCUUCGCUUUCAUGUCCCUUAUGCUUCCUACUUGCAGCAGGCAAACCAUCUUCUCGAGCACCCUCCGCAUUCUCCGUGUUCAUACCAGCUGCAACAUGACCUUGUUCUGAAUUUUCGGGUUGG
Molecule: unclassified non-coding RNA, 272 nt
Filed under: Hevea brasiliensis (rubber tree)
Lineage: Eukaryota; Viridiplantae; Streptophyta; Magnoliopsida; Malpighiales; Euphorbiaceae
Source: RNAcentral